This 467-nucleotide ribosomal RNA is filed under the name uncultured bacterium. RNAcentral describes it as "partial 16S ribosomal RNA". It matches the Rfam family "Bacterial small subunit ribosomal RNA", at positions 28 to 507 of the family's 1533-position model. The record is from RNAcentral.
GUUGAACGCUGGCGGCGCGCCUAACACAUGCAAGUCGAACGAUUAAAGCACCUUCGGGUGUGUAUAAAGUGGCGAACGGCUGAGUAACACGUGGGCAACCUGCCCCUUUCAUUGGGAUAGCCACGGGAAACCGUGGAUAAUACCGAAUACUUCGAGACUUCCGCAUGGAAGACUCGAGAAAGCUCCGGCGGAGAGGGAUGGGCCCGCGGCCUGUUAGCUUGUUGGUGGGGUAACGGCCUACCAAGGCAAUGAUGGGUAGCUGGGUUGAGAGACCGACCAGCCAGAUUGGGACUGAGACACGGCCCAGACUCCUACGGGAGGCAGCAGUGGGGAAUCUUGCACAAUGGGCGAAAGCCUGAUGCAGCGACGCCGCGUGCGGGAUGAAGGCCUUCGGGUUGUAAACCGCUUUCAGCAGGGACGAGGCGAAAGUGACGGUACCUGCAGAAGAAGCCCCGGCUAACUCCGUG